AUCUGGGGCGACAGGCCAGGUGCUGGUUGGAGCAGCACUGUCCGGGCCUCAGGCUGUCUCCUUAAACAUGGGGUCGUAAGGAUUCCCCCUCACUGGACAUCCCCCACCCUUCCCUGCAGUCCUCCACUCCGGAUUAGGCUCUCCUACUACAGGCUCUCACAGUUCGCUGAGUUCUGACCUUUUUCCUCCGUCGCAACCCUGACUGCCCUGCGAUGCUUCCUCCAUCAGAGCCCUGAUCACUGACAUCACUGGAGCUUCAGGAAGGGCUGUCCUGGGAAGGUCACGAAGUAAGUGGCAGACUGGGUCCGCUGCCUGACUUGCAAGCCCAUCAGCCUCACUGAGGAGGGUCUGAGAAAUGGGAAGCCCCACAAGACAGGGACAGCUUGGGGGCCCAGCACGUCUCACCAGAGGGUGUAGGCAGCAAAGAAGGGCACGUAAAAGGGCUGCUUCUCCGGGAAGUGACGCAAGGAGAUGAGCACAGCGUAGCAGAACCACACGUAAGCCGCCACCUGCAGCCCAAUGAGCCCAUAGCCCGCCGGCGACUCGUACGUGUAUAGGACCUGGCCUGGGUCAAAGAACUGCACCCAAGGGAAAGGGUUCAUCAUAGCUUUGACCUCCUGCCCUCCACACAAGGACCCCAGACCCUAGGCCCCUCCCCCCACCGGCACCCAGGGAGCAGAGCUAUUGGGUCAGGACAGAAGCAGCAGGAGAGAACAAAAUGGAAAUAGAAGGACAUCGAGGUAGAGUGAGGGUGAAAAAGAAAGAGAAUACAUUCUCUACCAGGGGUCCAACAUGGGGCUAACCACCUACCAUGCGUAAGUUUUUCCAUUUGCGUCAACCCAAUGAGGUGGGUCUUCUUAACACCCCCACUUCGCAGAGGGGGAAACUGAGGCUAAAAGGGGCGGCUUUUGGCCAAAGGCAAAGCCAAGGUGAUAUAAAGCCUUAGAGGAGCCCUCUGGGAUAAGUAAGACCCUCCCAAUUUUACAGAAGAGGAAACAGGCUUAGAGGGGGUGGGCAUCACCCACGGUCAGCUAGCUGGGAAGUGGGAGAGCCAGAGUGGAAUCCAGGUCUGUGUGACUCCUGAACUCUCAGUCAUGACAUUGAGUUUAAAUGUGACAGACAGUGAGAGACAGAGGGAGGAGGAAGAAGGCUCCUCAGAGAUGGUGAAGAGAGGAGGCAUGCACUUAGAGAGACAGAUGGGCAGGCAGAAAUCGCAGAGUGGGAGAGAGCGAGCCAGCUAGAGUGCGAUGUGGGGAAGGGCUGGCAGACAGGUGGAGGAGGUGGCCAAAAGCUUGGGGAGGGGCGGAGAGGCAAGGCCUGGGCAGUGGGAAGCGGCACUCACCUCGGCCUCGUAAAUGAGCAGCACCACGUGGGUGAGAGUGUACAGGGUCAUGUAGACAGACAACUUCACGGAGCCCGAGUGGCUGAUUCGGCCCCUGGCAGCAGGCCAUGAAGGGAGACAGCAGGGGUGGGGGCUGUCAGGGAGAAGCGGGAAGCCAUCCCCCCCAGAUCCACCCCAGUGUCCUGUUCCCUAGCCCAGCCACACCUCCCCCCAGCACUCCCUCCCGCCCCAGCCUGGGCACCGUGUCACUGUGAAUCCCUUCCCCAGAAGGAUGAGCAUCAGCAGGAAGAUGAGGAAGCUGGAGGAGAAGAGCAACUUGGCUGGGAGAAGGGAGGAGAGGGCGUCUCAGACACAGGGCCCAGAGGGAGCCCAGGCACCCUCCCCUGGCCCACUUCAUUCUCACCCAAGAUCUUCAGACUCUCGUUGCCAAUGCCAUCAGUGGCAUACUGGCCCCAGUAGAUGCAGAAAAACAGGAGGCUCAGGACUGAGGGGAGAGCGGGCAGAGGGAGGAAAGGACAGAAACCAGCUUUGGGGCAUCACCGUUCCCCAGCAUUAGGAUCCAGAUGGCCAGAACCCCUCCUUCAUCCCCAUCAGGAUUCUAGACCAUUUACGCCCACUGACGUCCUAGGAGACUGGAGCCCAGGCCCCAGCCCCUCUUCUUCAGGAUCCAGAUGUCCAGGCCCCCAGCCCCUCCUCCCUCAGACCCAGGGGUCCUGGCCCCCAGCCCCUCCUCCCUCAGACCCAGGAUCCAGGCCCCCAGCCCCUCUUCUUUUCCUCAGACCCAGGUAUCUGGACCCUAUGUCCCUCCUCUGACAGAACUCAAAAGCUGGGAUACUCUGAACCUCACCCUCCACUCCUGCUGCAGCCAUGAACAUUUUGUAAGUUGUGUGGAGCAACUGACGACCUUUCAGUAAAUCUAAAAGAAACGUAGGGGAAGGCGGUUCACAGACAGGAAGGGAGACUAGCUCGUUCCCCCAACCCUGCCCCCCAUAACUCCUAACCCCACCACCACGUACUGGACUUACAUCCAAAGUAACAGGAGAGGAAGAAGAUGAGGAGGAAGAUGAGGAGGAAAGUCACAUCUGUCUCCAGGAUCCCUGCCAAUUUUGUAGAAGGAGGAAAUGAUUCAGUCAAAGCUGGGUGUCCCUCGGCAGUGAGCACCCAACUCUAGACCUCCACAAAGAUUCUGGUUUCUGGGUCCGCAAUGCUCACCAAACUCAUCAGCCGAGAAAUGCCGUGUCCAGAAGGACUUGCCAUUGGUGAGGACCAUCUCAUACUCCAACUGCAGCCCAUCUCCCUGUGGGAAGUGGGGAGGCCUAAGGGGGGGUGGGGGCCUGGGCAGGUAGAGGGUCACCAGGAAGGCAAGGAGGAGAAGGCCCAGGUGGCCGGCCCAGCCUCUUACCCCACACUUGCUGAGUGCGAUGUACCACCACCUUUCACGAACCGAGCGGAAGCUUCGGCCACUGGAGCAGCUCAGGUAGCGGGUUCCGUCCUCUGACACUACCUGGGAAGGAGCAAGAAGAAGGUUGAAGCCUGUCUGCGCAGCCCUCGGGCCCUUGGCCUUCAGCAUCUGCCCAUUCCCCCAUACCUGACAGCCUGACCAGGCAUACUGGGUGGUGAGGUUGAUGACCUGGUUGUUCUCAGGCCUGAUCACUGACUCCUUGGCCAGGCAGUCCUGGGGAAGGCAGGGACACGGUCACUCCCUGGCCAGCCUCGGCCUUCUUCCCUCUCCCAUGCACCCUCCUCACAGCCUUCACCUUGUCCCCUGCCUUGUACACAGCCGGCCACUGGGAUGGGUCGUCGAAAUAGAGGAGGAUGUUCUGACAGCA
Felis catus (domestic cat) is the source of this 3171-nucleotide long non-coding RNA. RefSeq lists it as uncharacterized. The transcript is spliced from 3 exons. The record is from RefSeq and is a predicted model, not a curated record. Lineage: Eukaryota; Metazoa; Chordata; Mammalia; Carnivora; Felidae.